Molecule: ribosomal RNA, 465 nt
Filed under: uncultured bacterium
Lineage: Bacteria
Description: partial 16S ribosomal RNA
Rfam family: Bacterial small subunit ribosomal RNA
Source: RNAcentral
CCUACGGGAGGCAGCAGUGGGGAAUUUUGGACAAUGGGCGCAAGCCUGAUCCAGCUAUUCCGCGUGUGGGAAGACGGCCUUCGGGUUGUAAACCACUUUUGUAGAGAACGAAAAGUCUGUUGAUAAUACCGAUAGAUGAUGACGGUACUCUAAGAAUAAGCACCGGCUAACUACGUGCCAGCAGCCGCGGUAAUACGUAGGGUGCGAGCGUUAAUCGGAAUUACUGGGCGUAAAGGGUGUGCCGGCGGUUUUGCCAGAUGGAUGUGAAAGCCCCGGGCUUAACCUGGGAAAGCCAUACAUGACUGCAAGACUAGAGUGCGUCAGAGGGUGGUGGAAUUCCAAGUGUAGCAGUGAAAUGCGUAGAUAUUUGGAAGAACACCGAUGGCGAAGGCAGCCCCCUGGGACGCAACUGACGCUCAUACACGAAAGCGUGGGGAGCAAACAGGAUUAGAUACCCUGGUAGUC